Molecule: long non-coding RNA, 118 nt
Organism: Thamnophis elegans (Western terrestrial garter snake)
Lineage: Eukaryota; Metazoa; Chordata; Lepidosauria; Squamata; Natricidae
Exons: 2
Source: RefSeq, a predicted model, not a curated record
AACAAACUGAAAGGCAGCUGGAGCACUUAGAUUACCGGUAAACAUCCAUGUUCAUGUGACCAAAACCAACCCAGAAAAUAGACACACAGCCUGAGAGAAUGCAAUAUUCAUUUUGCUG